CUGCCACACUAACAGGGAACCAGCACC
This 27-nucleotide unclassified non-coding RNA is filed under the name Mus musculus (house mouse). Its description in RNAcentral is "oocyte_clustered_small_RNA10371". The record is from RNAcentral. Lineage: Eukaryota; Metazoa; Chordata; Mammalia; Rodentia; Muridae.